RNAcentral lists this non-coding RNA (460 nucleotides) under Pan troglodytes (chimpanzee). Lineage: Eukaryota; Metazoa; Chordata; Mammalia; Primates; Hominidae. RNAcentral also lists the same sequence under 2 other names. The record is from RNAcentral.
GUUGACAUGACAACUGAAGAGAUAGAUGCUCUUGUUCAUCGGGAAAUCAUCAGUCAUAAUGCCUAUCCCUCACCUCUAGGCUAUGGAGGUUUUCCAAAAUCUGUUUGUACCUCUGUAAACAACGUGCUCUGUCAUGGUAUUCCUGACAGUCGACCUCUUCAGGAUGGAGAUAUUAUCAACAUUGAUGUCACAGUCUAUUACAAUGGCUACCAUGGAGACACCUCUGAAACAUUUUUGGUGGGCAAUGUGGACGAAUGUGGUAAAAAGUUAGUGGAGGUUGCCAGGAGGUGUAGAGAUGAAGCAAUUGCAGCUUGCAGAGCAGGGGCUCCCUUCUCUGUAAUUGGAAACACAAUCAGUAGAAGGGGGCAGAGAACACUAGAUUCUUAUUCAAGCAUUCUAUCGAGCUCUGCAUUCAUGGCUGUGUCUAAAGGGCAUGUCAGCCUUUGAUUCUCUCUGAGAG